GAUGAAGAACGUAGCGAAAUGCGAUAAGUAAUGUGGAUGAACGCACAUUGCGCCCGCCAGCAUUCUGGCGGGCAUGCCUGUUCGAGCGUCAUUUCAACCCUCGAGCCCCCCCCCCGGGGCCUCGGUGUUGGGGAACGGCACACCGGCCGCCCCCGAAAUGCAGUGGCGACCCCGCCACAGCCUCCCCUGCGUGGUAGCACACACCUCGCACCGGAGCGCGGAGGCGGUCACGCCGUAAAACGCCCAACUUUCUUAGAGUUGACCUCGGAUCAGGUAGGAAUACCCGCUGAACUUAAGCAUAUCAAUAAGCGGAGGA
This 316-nucleotide unclassified non-coding RNA is filed under the name soil metagenome. RNAcentral describes it as "partial contains 5.8S ribosomal RNA, internal transcribed spacer 2, and large subunit ribosomal RNA". The stretch from base 1 to 91 matches the Rfam family "5.8S ribosomal RNA", at positions 35 to 154 of the family's 154-position model. The record is from RNAcentral.